This 168-nucleotide ribosomal RNA is filed under the name uncultured bacterium. RNAcentral's name for it is "partial 16S rRNA". It matches the Rfam family "Bacterial small subunit ribosomal RNA", at positions 355 to 514 of the family's 1533-position model. The record is from RNAcentral.
UAGGGAAUCUUCGGCAAUGGACGAAAGUCUGACCGAACAACGCCGCGUGAGUGAAGAAGGUUUUCGGAUCGUAAAACUCUGUUGGUAGAGAAGAACGUUGGUGAGAGUGGAAAGCUCAUCAAGUGACGGUAACUACCCAGAAAGGGACGGCUAACUACGUGCCACCAG